GGCUCAAGUGCGAAAAAUAAAGCCUCUUUUGCAACCCAGAACUCAUUGUUCAGUAUGAGUUUUGAUACAUAUAAGAAGGAACAUU
Molecule: small nucleolar RNA, 85 nt
Organism: Molossus molossus (Pallas's mastiff bat)
Lineage: Eukaryota; Metazoa; Chordata; Mammalia; Chiroptera; Molossidae
Product: small nucleolar RNA SNORA40
Exons: 1
Source: RefSeq, a predicted model, not a curated record